GACGAACGCUGGCGGCGUGCUUAACACAUGCAAGUCGAACGAAGAGCGAUGGAGGCUUGCUUCUAUCAAUCUUAGUGGCGAACGGGUGAGUAACGCGUAAUCAACCUGCCCUUCAGAGGGGGACAACAGUUGGAAACGACUGCUAAUACCGCAUACGAUCUAAUCUCGGCAUCGAGGAUAGAUGAAAGGUGGCCUCUACAUGUAAGCUAUCACUGAAGGAGGGGAUUGCGUCUGAUUAGCUAGUUGGAGGGGUAACGGCCCACCAAGGCGAUGAUCAGUAGCCGGUCUGAGAGGAUGAACGGCCACAUUGGGACUGAGACACGGCCCAGACUCCUACGGGAGGCAGCAGUGGGGAAUCUUCCGCAAUGGACGAAAGUCUGACGGAGCAACGCCGCGUGAGUGAUGACGGCCUUCGGGUUGUAAAGCUCUGUUAAUCGGGACGAAAGGCCUUCUUGCGAAUAGUGAGAAGGAUUGACGGUACCGGAAGAGAAAGCCACGGCUAACUACGUG
RNAcentral lists this ribosomal RNA (510 nucleotides) under uncultured bacterium. Its description in RNAcentral is "partial 16S ribosomal RNA". It matches the Rfam family "Bacterial small subunit ribosomal RNA", at positions 28 to 507 of the family's 1533-position model. The record is from RNAcentral.